AGAGUUUGAUCCUGGCUCAGAUUGAACGUUGGCGGCAGGCCUAAAACAUGCAAGUCGAACGGUAACAGCGGAAGCUUGCUUCCGGCUGACGAGUGGCGGACGGGUGAGUAACACGUAGGAAUCUACCUAGUAGUGGGGGACAACCCGGGGAAACCCGGGCUAAUACCGCAUACGCUCUACGGAGGAAAGCGGGGGAUCUUCGGACCUCGCGCUAUUGGAGGAGCCUGCGUCGGAUUAGCUAGUUGGUGGGGUAAAGGCCUACCAAGGCGACGAUCCGUAGCUGGUCUGAGAGGACGAUCAGCCACACUGGAACUGAGACACGGUCCAGACUCCUACGGGAGGCAGCAGUUAGGAAUCUUGGGCAAUGGGCGCAAGCCUGACCCAGCCAUGCCGCGUGUGUGAAGAAGGCCUUCGGGUUGUAAAGCACUUUCAGCGGUGAAGAAAAGCUCAGGGCCAAUAUCCUUGAGUCUUGACGUUAACCGCAGAAGAAGCACCGGCUAACUCCGUGCCAGCAGCCGCGGUAAUACGGAGGGUGCGAACGUUAAUCGGAAUCACUGGGCGUAAAGCGCGCGUAGGCGGUUUGUUAAGUGGGAUGUGAAAGCCCCGGGCUUAACCUGGGAAUUGCAUUUCAAACUGGCGAACUAGAGUGCGGUAGAGGGAGGUAGAAUUUCCUGUGUAGCGGUGAAAUGCGUAGAUAUAGGAAGGAAUACCAGUGGCGAAGGCGGCCUCCUGGAUCGACACUGACGCUAAGGCGCGAAAGCGUGGGGAGCAAACAGGAUUAGAUACCCUAGUAGUCC
Molecule: ribosomal RNA, 797 nt
Filed under: uncultured bacterium
Lineage: Bacteria
Description: bacterial SSU rRNA
Rfam family: Bacterial small subunit ribosomal RNA
Source: RNAcentral